CAAUAGCGUAUAUUUAAGUUGUUGCAGUUAAAAAGCUCGUAGUUGGAUUUCUGCUGAUCGCUGUCGGUCUGCCGUCAGGUGUGUACUGGCAGUGUUUGGCAUCUAUUCGAGAUUGGGUGUCCACUUGAUUGUGUGCACUCGAUGUCGGAGCUAAUACUUUGAGAAAAUUAGAGUGUUCCACGCAGGCGCGUGCCUUGAAUACUGCAGCAUGGGAUAUUGGAAGGCCGAUUGAGCUUUCUUGUUGGUUCUCGGUUUGAUCGGAAUGAUUAAUAGGGAUAGUUGGGGGCAUUCGUAUUCAACUGUCAGAGGUGAAAUUCUUGGAUCUGUUGAAGACGGACUACUGCGAAAGCAUCUGCCAUGGAUGUUCUCAUUGA
RNAcentral lists this ribosomal RNA (374 nucleotides) under uncultured eukaryote. RNAcentral's name for it is "partial 18S ribosomal RNA". It matches the Rfam family "Eukaryotic small subunit ribosomal RNA", at positions 592 to 976 of the family's 1831-position model. The record is from RNAcentral.